UGGGGAAUCUUGGACAAUGGGCGCAAGCCUGAUCCAGCCAUGCCGCGUGGGUGAAGAAGGCCUUAGGGUUGUAAAGCCCUUUCAGUCGUGACGAUGAUGACGGUAGCGACAGAAGGAGCCCCGGCUAACUCCGUGCCAGCAGCCGCGGUAAUACGGAGGGGGCAAGCGUUAUCCGGAAUGAUUGGGCGUAAAGCGUCUGCAGGUGGCUAUGCAAGUCUGCUGUUAAAGAGUGGAGCUCAACUCCAUAAGGGCAGUGGAAACUGCAUAACUAGAGUACGUUCGGGGUAGAGGGAAUUCCUGGUGUAGCGGUGAAAUGCGUAGAUAUCAGGAAGAACACCGGUGGCAAAAGCGCUCUACUAGGCCGUAACUGACCCUGAGAGACGAAAGCUAAGGGAGCGAAUGGGAUUAGAUACCCCUGUAGUCC
This 424-nucleotide ribosomal RNA is filed under the name uncultured prokaryote. RNAcentral describes it as "bacterial SSU rRNA". It matches the Rfam family "Bacterial small subunit ribosomal RNA", at positions 355 to 796 of the family's 1533-position model. The record is from RNAcentral.